RNAcentral lists this unclassified non-coding RNA (442 nucleotides) under soil metagenome. RNAcentral describes it as "partial contains 5.8S ribosomal RNA, internal transcribed spacer 2, and large subunit ribosomal RNA". The stretch from base 1 to 120 matches the Rfam family "5.8S ribosomal RNA", at positions 35 to 154 of the family's 154-position model. The record is from RNAcentral.
GAUGAAGAACGUAGCGAAAUGCGAUAAGUAAUGUGAAUUGCAGAAUUCAGUGAAUCAUCGAAUCUUUGAACGCACCUUGCGCUCCUUGGUAUUCCUUGGAGCAUGCCUGUUUGUGUAUCAUGAAAUUCUCAAAGUAAAUCUUUUUGUUAAUUCAAUUAGGUUCACUUUGGAUUUGGAGGUUUUUUGCAGCUUCACACCUGCUCCUCUUUGUGCAUUAGCUGGAUCUCAGUGUUAUGCUUGGUUCCACUCGGCGUGAUAAGUUAUCUAUCGCUGAGGACACUUUUUUGUUUUUUUCUAAAAAAAUAAAAUAACUAAGUGGCCAAGGGAAAUGCAGAUGAACCGCUUCCAAUAGUCCAUUAGCUUGGACAAAUAUAUUUUUAUGAUCUGAUCUCAAAUCAGGUAGGACUACCCGCUGAACUUAAGCAUAUCAAUAAGCGGAGGA